This 504-nucleotide ribosomal RNA is filed under the name uncultured bacterium. RNAcentral describes it as "partial 16S ribosomal RNA". It matches the Rfam family "Bacterial small subunit ribosomal RNA", at positions 32 to 523 of the family's 1533-position model. The record is from RNAcentral.
AACGCUGGCGGCGCGCUUAACACAUGCAAGUCGAGCGAGAACCGGGACUUCGGUCCCGGGGACAGCGGCGAACGGGUGAGUAACACGUGGGUAAUCUGCCCUCGAUUCUGGGAUAGCCCGGGGAAACCCGGAUUAAUACCGGAUAGCCUUCACGGUCUACGGACCGGGAAGAAAAGGUAGCUUCGGCCUCCGAUCGAGGAUGAGCCCGCGGUGGAUGAGCUUGGUGGCGGGGUAACGGCCCACCAAGGCGACGAUCCAUAGCUGGUCUGAGAGGACGAUCAGCCACACUGGGACUGAGACACGGCCCAGACUCCUACGGGAGGCAGCAGUGGGGAAUCUUGCGCAAUGGGCGAAAGCCUGACGCAGCGACGCCGCGUGGGGGAAGAAGGCCUUCGGGUUGUAAACCUCUUUCAGGAGGGACGAAGCCACUCGGGUGAACAGCCCAGAGGGUGACGGUACCUCCAGAAGAAGCCCCGGCUAACUACGUGCCAGCAGCCGCAGUAA